AUGAACGCUAGCGGCAGGCUUAACACAUGCAAGUCGAGGGGUAGAAGGAGCUUGCUCCUUUGAGACCGGCGCACGGGUGCGUAACGCGUAUGCAAUCUACCUUUGCAGAGGGAUAGCCCAGAGAAAUUUGGAUUAAUACCUCAUAGUAUGUGAGGAUGGCAUCAUUUUCACAUUAAAGUCACAACGGCAAAAGAUGAGCAUGCGUCCCAUUAGCUAGUUGGUAAGGUAACGGCUUACCAAGGCUACGAUGGGUAGGGGUCCUGAGAGGGAGAUCCCCCACACUGGUACUGAGACACGGACCAGACUCCUACGGGAGGCAGCAGUGAGGAAUAUUGGACAAUGGGCGCAAGCCUGAUCCAGCCAUGCCGCGUGCAGGAUGACGGUCCUAUGGAUUGUAAACUGCUUUUAUACAGGAAGAAACACUCCGACGUGUCGGAGCUUGACGGUACUGUAAGAAUAAGGAUCGGCUAACUCCGUG
This 478-nucleotide ribosomal RNA is filed under the name uncultured bacterium. Its description in RNAcentral is "bacterial SSU rRNA". It matches the Rfam family "Bacterial small subunit ribosomal RNA", at positions 29 to 507 of the family's 1533-position model. The record is from RNAcentral.